GAUGAACGCUAGCUGGAGGCUUAAUACAUGCAAGUCGAGCGGGAUUGGUAGCAAUACCCAUGAGAGCGGCGCACGGGUGAGUAACGCGUACACGACCUACCUCUGACAGGGGGAUAGCCCUGGGAAACUGGGAUUAAUACCGCAUAUUAUUCUGAAUAAUAAAGGUUUGGAAUGAAAGCUGAGGCGGUCAGAGAUGGGUGUGCGUCUGAUUAGCUAGUUGGUAGGGUAACGGCCUACCAAGGCGAUGAUCAGUAGGGGGCGUGAGAGCGUGGUCCCCCCAACGGGUACUGAGACACGGACCCGA
RNAcentral lists this ribosomal RNA (304 nucleotides) under uncultured bacterium. Its description in RNAcentral is "bacterial SSU rRNA". It matches the Rfam family "Bacterial small subunit ribosomal RNA", at positions 28 to 335 of the family's 1533-position model. The record is from RNAcentral.